GGUCAUUUUUUGCAAAAUACCUUCAGAUGAGCUAAAAACGGCGGGGCAUGCUGAUUAGCUGAUACAGCACAGGUGCCACUGUGCUGCCUGGCCUGUGGGAGGUGCCCAAGAAACACCUGCGGAAAUUAUCUCAACACACCCAGGAGGUGGCAUAUCAGGAGGGGCUGCACUCAGCUGUCAGUAACCCAAAAUAACAGUGGCUUAGGCGAUGCAGACGCUGUUUUUCUUCCGUGCCGAGUGAAUACAGAGUAGCGUGGGGAUGAAGAUGGAUUCGGUUUCUCAGAACGUGUCCAGAUGCCUGCUCUGCAACCCUCGGUCCAUUCCUUCUACGGUCAAAGUGGCCUCGCGGCUGUGGGGAGAUUGCUGUAUCCCUAACCCCCAUGUCCACCUCCCGCAGCAGACAUACAGAGGGUGAAUGCAAACCUUUCAGAGGAGAUGACGCCUUUGGACAAGUCUUAUCUCCCAGCCCCCCGGAAGUUCAGCACACGACAUCACCUAAUGUUCUUUCGCUGCGGCUGCCUGCACGAGAGGCUGGGGAAGCUAGGGUUUGACUGGGCGCAGCCUUGCUCUUCGGCAGGUCAUUUGGUGAGGAUGAAGAGAAGGCUAUCCUAUAUGCCGGAUAGGAAAGUAGUCCCAGUGAAGCAGCCCUUCUCAACCAGUAGGUCACUACCCCUUUGGCAAACCUCUGUGUCCAAAAAUACAUUACAAUUUUAACAGGAGCAAAAUUACAGCUAGGAAAUAGCAAUAUAAUAAUCUUAUGGCUGGGGGUCACCACAACAUGGGGAACUGCACUGAAGGGUCGAGGCGUUCGGAGGCUGGGAACCACUGCAAAAAGAGGCUAUUGUUACCCUGGAUUUAAGGAGGAAAUAAUGAAUUUAAGCAACAUGCCGAGGCAAAGAGCUGGAAAUCAUGCAAGUGGAAAUUCAGAGUCCUGCUGACGGCAGAAGCCAACUCCUGCUUGGUAUAUUUCAGCCUGUGAUGCUGGGGCACCAGAAAUCCAGGCUUCCCAUGUGGAGGGUGGACUCGGGGUGCUGGCAUCAAAGGAUGGGAGAGGAGCUGAAUGAGCUACUGACCAGGGUAUGCUCAUGAUCCUGACUGACCAGAGUCAGCAGCAGAUGUCACGUGGGAUCAUUUUCUUCGAUUUUCAGAUCGUUUUAGAAACAGACACCAACAAUGAAGGUAACCUCCAUGGUCUGGCAUUUCGGACGUGCAUGCCUGCAUUGGGAAGCUGUCUGUCCGGCAGGAGUGUUGGUUCCCGUUAAGUACGUAGUAUGCAGAUUUCAUCACAACUUGCUGUACCCAAGCAUCUUUCACCAGACGAACUGUCGAGUCCCUCUCUGUUUCUGCCAAAACGAAGCACAAAGAGCCCAUUUUUCCGUGGGACUCCAGCUAAGGACUCCUCCAAACCACGAACAUUAGAACAAUUGAGAUUUACAGCUGACUUCAGAUUUCUGAUCAGUUCUGUGCAGCCUCGAGUUGAUUACCAUAAGACCCGGUUAUGUGCAUUAGGGAGCGUCUCCUGUAAGUGAUCUCCUGACUUCCGCGCUUCCCUCCCUUUAAAAACCAAAUGUAAUUCAUAAAAGAGGCCCAGGAUUUGCAAUUAAAAUUGAAGCGUGUUGCCUC
Molecule: long non-coding RNA, 1623 nt
Organism: Meriones unguiculatus (Mongolian gerbil)
Lineage: Eukaryota; Metazoa; Chordata; Mammalia; Rodentia; Muridae
Exons: 3
Source: RefSeq, a predicted model, not a curated record